Molecule: long non-coding RNA, 635 nt
Organism: Ictalurus punctatus (channel catfish)
Lineage: Eukaryota; Metazoa; Chordata; Actinopteri; Siluriformes; Ictaluridae
Exons: 4
Source: RefSeq, a predicted model, not a curated record
UGACUGAGGGGGCGUGGCCAGGAGGACGACUACAGAGAGGUGACUGAGGGGGCGUGGCCAGGAGGACGACUACAGUGAGUUCACACACACCUCUCAAUGUGCAGUUGUGGGCGAGAGCAUCUCCUGUGUAUCCGGACGCACAGAGCUCACAGUGUGCUCCGGCGGUGUGGUUGGCACACAUUAGGCAGCGCCCGCUCUCCGGGUGGCAGGUCCGGGGCCACGAGCGAGGAUCGGCGUUCCCGUUACACUCACAGCGCACGCAAUCGCCUCCUGAUUUGUAAAAGCCGUCUGUACACACUUCACAGGUGCUGCACCGGAAGCCACUGAUCUUUACCCAGAGCUGUCAAAAUGACUGAAGAAGAAGAUGACAAGAACUUCCCUGGAUGACUGUAAUGAUGUUUAUCGCGUCGUGAGGCUGUCACUCUCACUGCAAUGUCCAGUACAAUGGAGAUGGGCUUUAAACUAUAUGAUUCAAGUUACGUCAACAACUCUGAGGAAAACCAAGCUUGUCUUGCCAUACACCUGUCUACUACCUGGAGGCUCCGCCCACAUUCCCCACCCCGAUGGUAUUACAUCACUGCACACGUGAGCAAGAGCGAAACGGAGCGUCUCACCGAGGUGGCAGGUGCCUGAAG